GAAGAAACUGAGGACCUAACGAAUCAGGUGCUAGAUGAAAUUGUUGUUGACAUUGCAUCCCAGUUAUCUUCAGCUCCCAAAGGAAAAAUUGCAGGGAAGAAUGUACAAAAUGUUGGAAGCUCUGAUGUGGAUGAACUUGAAAAGCGGUUGGCGGCUCUUAGAAACCCGUGAGCAAAAGCUCACUCGAUCUCCCGAUUUCAUUUCUGUAUUGCUUGAUGU
Molecule: unclassified non-coding RNA, 219 nt
Filed under: Hevea brasiliensis (rubber tree)
Lineage: Eukaryota; Viridiplantae; Streptophyta; Magnoliopsida; Malpighiales; Euphorbiaceae
Source: RNAcentral